Molecule: non-coding RNA, 241 nt
Organism: Pelobates cultripes (western spadefoot toad)
Lineage: Eukaryota; Metazoa; Chordata; Amphibia; Anura; Pelobatidae
Source: the annotation of a GenBank genome assembly
GGGGUGACUAGUGACAGAGUGAGGGAAGGGGUGACUAGUGGCAGAGUGAGGGAUGGAAGGGGUGACUAGUGACAGAGUGAGGGAGGUGGUGACUGUCACUAGUCACCACCUCCCUCACUCUGUCACUAGUCACCACCUCCCUCUGUCACUACUCCCUCCCUCCUUCUGUCACUAGUCACCCCCUCCGUCCCUUACUCUGUCACUAGUCACCCCUUCCCUCACUCGGUCACCAGUCAUCCCC